UACACCUGUUCCCAUGCCGAACACAGAAGUUAAGCUUCUUAGCGCCGAUUGUAGUGAAGGGUUUCCCUUUGUGAGAGUAGGACGUCGCCACGCG
This 94-nucleotide ribosomal RNA is filed under the name Enterococcus faecalis. Lineage: Bacteria; Bacillati; Bacillota; Bacilli; Lactobacillales; Enterococcaceae. The record is from RNAcentral. RNAcentral also lists the same sequence under 40 other names.